Molecule: small nuclear RNA, 104 nt
Organism: Pan troglodytes (chimpanzee)
Lineage: Eukaryota; Metazoa; Chordata; Mammalia; Primates; Hominidae
Source: Ensembl
GUGCUCACUUUGGCAGCACAUAUGCUACAACUGGAACGAUACAGAGAUUAGCAUGGACCCUGUGCAAGGAUGACACGCAAAUUCAUGAAGCAUUCCAUAUAUAU